UGGAUGGGCUCACAGUGGAUGGGCUCACAGUUGGAUUGGCUCACCAUGGAUGGGCUCACAGUGGAUGGGCUCACAGUUGGAUGGGCUCACAGUGGAUGGGAUCACAGUGGAUGGGCUCACAGCAGUCCUCUCACCUGGCUGCACAUCCAAUCACCUGGGUCCUCUUAUAUUUCCCAGGACUCCGUGGCACACCUGGCCCAUUAAAUCAGAAAGUUUGGGGUGAUGAGCCAGGCAUAAGUAUGUUUUAGGAUCCCUAAGUGGUUCCAGUGUGACUCAAACUUUGGGAACCAUGGGGCUACAGGACAGGAUAGAUUGUGGGCAGCCAGCCAGGACUCAACCAUGUUCAAAGCGCUUUCUUAUCCUUGCUGUCAUCGCCCGCUGAGGAGUCACACCAUUAUACCCAUUGUACCGAGGAGGAAAGUGAGGCCUACGGUGUUGCCACACCUCCUGAGACAGUCAUUGUUAAGGCUGGGACGAGAGCCCUGUCUCUGGACCCUCAAAGCUGACUCCUCCUACAUAGGCGCAGCUACAGAGGGCCCUUGGGAAUAGUCACAAAGAGACAAGGACCUGGACUUCCAGAGAUUGCAAGGUUCUGGGAGACAUGCCAACCUUUCCUGGGAGGAGGUUCUGACGGUGGCAGGGGUGGCAUAGCAAGAGCAUCCUUGAAGCCGGCAGCGAGGGCUUUGCACGCUGGGUGCAGGCCAGCACACUGAGCCAGCUCACACCUUGGCCCCAAGUGGGCCCUGGUUCCACCCCAGGAACUUGUUCAUCUGGCUUCAUCCAGUGGUGUGUGGGGAUCUGUUCCGGGACAGCCGGGCCCAGACAUCACCUCUUUAUCUAAGUCUUUCCUGGCCCUCCUCUGUUAACAAAAAGGCAGCUUAACAGGGAAUGGAAGGUUAACAGCAGCUUUCAACUUCCUCUAGGUCUGUGUUGGAAACAUGGCCAUUCACAUACAGCCCAAGGCACCAUUGGCAGGAAAAUCAGAGGGGCCCUCAGCAACUCUGGGGCUGGCUUAGCUCCCACCCAUUGCCCUAGUCCUCGAAGACUGUCAGCAGCCACCCGUCCAGCUCAUCCCCUCCCUCGUCUGUCUAUUUCAGAGGCCAGAGGAAGGCAGAGAAGAUGAGGAGACCAGCUAAGUUGCAUAGUGCAGAAUAAUGCACUGCCUUGCAGCCACCCAGACCAGAGUUCAAAUCCCAGCUCUGCUGUGUGCUCUUACUAGGUGAUCUUGGAGAAGCUGCCUGACCCCUCCAGGCCUUGGAACUCUAAUCUAUAAAAUGGUGGUGUUAAUAACCGUCAUCUCCAGUAUCUGUGACGCUGUGGGUUAAGUAACAUCCGCUCUGGCUGUGGGAUCCUAGACAUGUUAUUUUGCCUCCCUCUGCUUCAGUGAACCCAUCUUUAAAAUGGGAAUGAUAACUCUUACUCAUAGAGGUGGAGUAAGGAUUAAAUCCAUUAAAUGAAUCAAUCUACACAAAGUACUUAGAACAACAUCUGGCCUGUCCCAAGAGCUUGGCACACCCCCCACGCCCCACCUCCCUCCUGCGGUCAGGGGCCCCCUAGGCAGGGAUAGUCUCUUGGUGUCUCUUUCUUCUUAAGUGGAAGAUGGCCCCAGGACAGAGGGAGCAGCGAGGGCCUGGAUGCCCUGGAGGAGUGAAGAACCAUAGAGAUUGGUUUCCAAACUCAAAUAGUACUUAGUGAGCACCAGCCCUGUGCCAGGCACCGGGCUGGACACGCUGGCAGCAUUUCCUCUGAUCCAAGUGCAACCCUGAGGGGCACGGUUCCCAGCAUUUCUGGAGGGGAACCCAAGAGUCAGAGAUGUCAGGGACAGCCAACUGCCCUUGGAGAAGCGGAAUAGAAGGAAUUCGAAACCAUGACCUGUGACUCUGUGUCCCCUAUUCUGCCUUCAUCAUGCCACGCUCUUCAUGUCUCAAAUAGAAGUUCCUGCAGAGGAGGUGUCAGGCUCAGCGAGCAAAGCUGGGCCCUGUGGAAUCACUGAAUAGCAGAUUUCAAGUCACUAUAAGCACCCUGUCUAACAGUCCAAGCUUCCCCAAGCUGAGAAGUGCUGCCUUAGGGGGAAUGGGCCCCCUGUCCCCAGUCGUGGCAUCUCAGAAGCUCUUCCUGGCUCCCUGGAUUGGUGUGAGUUCCCUGCUAGGUCAUCCCACCCUAGAGUUCAUCACACUGUGUGGUAACUGAUGGAUCACAGUUACAGUCUGAAAGAGCUUCACUCUCCUAGCGGCAGCAGACCUGGAAUGUCCCAGUGCUGUGGGAAGCCGGCUCAGCGCCUGAGAGUCUCCAUGCUGCACGACCUGGGAAGUGAGCGCCCUUUGAAGGGAAUCACAGCCAAAUCAGUUUUCCCUGUUUGUAAAAUGGGGUGCAGAGCUGAGGAGAGUUGGCUAUCAUCACACUCCCUGCAGAGCAGUGGGCAGCUGACUGGGAAGCCCCGACACAGGCAAAAAACUCAAGGCCUAAAGGAGUGAAAUAGAAGAUCCAGGACCUGGGUGGCUUGAUAAGGAGACAUGAGCACCAAGCUUGUGGUCAGAAGAAGUGGAUUCAAGAGCUAGACAGUUUAGAGAGAUGUUGACAAUAACGCCAGAAACCCAGGCUGAGAACAAUAACCUUGGUGGGCACAGAUGCUCCCUCUUAGCUGUGGGCUUAGGGGCAGUGAAGGCCCCAUUAUCAGGCUGAGGAGACCAACCAAGCUUGCAUGCAGACGCUCUCCGUUCCUGGGCCGGAUCCCGGGAGACCCUGGCAUACAGGGCUUUCUUUCAGGCAGUAACCAACACUGGGGGCUCAGGCCACAGGCACGCCUCACUCAGCUCUCCCCCGCCCUUGCUGCCUCAGGGGCUGGGAGGACAGAAAGCUCCUUGCGGGCAGGCACUUCCCCAGGAAAGGCAGACCGGUGGAGUCUGGAUGCAGAGCUUUCUGCCAACAGAACUUCCCACGGGCAGCCUGAAAUGAGCAGCAAUUACACGUGGCCUCUAGGGCCACAUUUGAUAAGAAGAGCUGCAAUUUACUGUGUCCCUACUAUGUACGAAGCACGUUAAAUUUGUUAUUUACUUAGCAACUAUUCUCUGAGUGCCUUGAAGUGCCAGGCCCUGGCUGGGGACCAGGGGUACAUGGCCCCUGCCCCUAUG
RNAcentral lists this long non-coding RNA (3131 nucleotides) under Equus asinus (donkey). Its description in RNAcentral is "lncRNA (ENSEASG00005036570.1)". Lineage: Eukaryota; Metazoa; Chordata; Mammalia; Perissodactyla; Equidae. The record is from RNAcentral.